GAGGGUAUAGCUCAGUGGUAUAGCAUGUGCUUAGCAUGCACAAGGUCCUGAGUUCAUCCCCAGUACCUCCA
This 71-nucleotide transfer RNA is filed under the name Camelus bactrianus (Bactrian camel). It matches the Rfam family "tRNA". From Rfam's summary of the family: Transfer RNA (tRNA) molecules are approximately 80 nucleotides in length. Their secondary structure includes four short double-helical elements and three loops (D, anti-codon, and T loops). Further hydrogen bonds mediate the characteristic L-shaped molecular structure. tRNAs have two regions of fundamental functional importance: the anti-codon, which is responsible for specific mRNA codon recognition, and the 3' end, to which the tRNAs corresponding amino acid is attached (by aminoacyl-tRNA synthetases). tRNAs cope with the degeneracy of the genetic code in two manners: having more than one tRNA (with a specific anti-codon) for a particular amino acid; and 'wobble' base-pairing, i.e. permitting non-standard base-pairing at the 3rd anti-codon position. Lineage: Eukaryota; Metazoa; Chordata; Mammalia; Artiodactyla; Camelidae. RNAcentral also lists the same sequence under 1 other name. The record is from Rfam by way of RNAcentral.